This 273-nucleotide ribosomal RNA is filed under the name uncultured bacterium. RNAcentral's name for it is "partial 16S ribosomal RNA". It matches the Rfam family "Bacterial small subunit ribosomal RNA", at positions 524 to 796 of the family's 1533-position model. The record is from RNAcentral.
UACGUAGGUGGCGAGCGUUGUCCGGAUUUAUUGGGUUUAAAGGGUGCGUAGGCGGCCCUAUAAGUCAGUGGUGAAAUAUCGCAGCUUAACUGUGAGGGUGCCAUUGAUACUGUAGGGCUUGAGUGAAUUUGAAGUAGGCGGAAUUGACGGUGUAGCGGUGAAAUGCUUAGAUAUCGUCAAGAACACCGAUAGUGAAGACAGCUUACUAAGCUUCAACUGACGCUGAGGCACGAAAGUGUGGGGAUCAAACAGGAUUAGAAACCCCCGUAGUCC